AGACGUGAGGGCGAUCUGGCUGGGACAUCUGUCACCCCAUUGAUCGCCAGGGUUGAUUCGGCUGAUCUGGCUGGCUAGGCGGGUGUCCCUUCCUCCCUCACCGCUCCAUAUGCGUCCCUCCUGAAGCUUAGUGCUCAGUCGAAGAGGACGGCCUUCCCUGAAUAGAGACGGACAGGCUUCGGUCGAGGGAAUACGAGUAGCUGCGCUCCCCUGUUAAAACCUCCAAACCAGCUCUCAAACUUUGUUCUCAUUGUUCUUCUCUUCCUUCCUUCCUAUGGAAGAGAUCAUUCAUUUAGCUUCCUUCCCAAGGAUGAGGUCAUUCAUU
Molecule: small nuclear RNA, 325 nt
Filed under: Erinaceus europaeus (western European hedgehog)
Lineage: Eukaryota; Metazoa; Chordata; Mammalia; Eulipotyphla; Erinaceidae
Description: 7SK RNA
Rfam family: 7SK RNA
About the family: 7SK was discovered as an abundant small nuclear RNA in the mid-70s but a possible function has only recently been suggested. Two independent studies have found that 7SK RNA binds the CDK9/cyclin T complex (known as elongation factor P-TEFb).
Source: Rfam by way of RNAcentral